Vitis riparia (riverbank grape) is the source of this 2198-nucleotide RNA transcript. It is a transcript of the gene named RNA pseudouridine synthase 6, chloroplastic, with no coding region annotated. The record is from RefSeq and is a predicted model, not a curated record. The transcript has 10 exons. NCBI's taxonomy places the organism in Eukaryota, Viridiplantae, Streptophyta, Magnoliopsida, Vitales, Vitaceae.
CCCUGUCCGAAUCCGAGUGAAAUAUGGGUACUGCGAUUCUCACUUCAAUCUUCACCAGUGGCUUGGUUUCCUCAUUGUGGAACUCGAAUUGCCGGAGUUUCGGGACUCCUGUGGCCCUCGCGCGCACAUUAGCCUCGAGCAAUGUGUUCAGUAGGCGGCACAAGCGUGUGGUUUGGUGUUCCAACAAUCCAACCUGUACCCGUGAACUCACUGCAUCAUCAGAUUCUGCUAACACUUCUUCUGUUAAUGGCUACCCUGAAUAUCAUCGCUUGCUACCAUGUCCUUCUCAAAAUGGCCCACCAAGAGUUGAGCAUUUGGUUGUUUCAGAAGGAGGGUGUGUUCUAGAUUAUAUCAGUAAAGCUUUGGAUCUUCCUCCUUUGUUUGUUGCAGAUCUCAUCCAUUUUGGAGCUGUAUAUUAUGCACUUGUAUGUCCAGAGCCUCCUCCAAGUGCAACACCAGAACAGGUUCGUUUAUUUAAAGAAGUAACGGCACCUUCAGUCCUGAGAAAGAGGCCUUCCAUUAAAGGAAAAACUAUACGAGAAGCACAGAAGACUUUCCGGAUAACUGAUGUUAAUGAGUUUGUUGAAGCUGGAACAUACUUACGUGUGCAUGUACACCCAAAACGCUUCCCAAGGUGUUAUGAAAUUGAUUGGAAAUCAAGAAUUAUUGCUGUAACUGAAUCUUAUGUGGUUUUGGACAAACCUGCUGGGACAUCAGUAGGAGGAACAACAGACAACAUUGAAGAAAGUUGUGCAACUUUUGCCACUCGUGCCUUGGGAUUAACAACUCCAUUGAGGACUACCCAUCAGAUUGAUAAUUGCACUGAAGGCUGUGUCGUUUUAGCAAGGACUAAGGAGUACUGCUCAGUUUUUCAUGGAAAAAUCAGAGAGAAAAAGGUCAAGAAGCUUUAUCGUGCCCUUGCUGCUGCUCCUAUGCCAAUUGGAAUAGUUACCCACUACAUGCGUCCGGUUAAUAUUGCUCCAAGACUUAUUUCAGAAGAUUUCAUUAAAGGAUGGUACCUGUGCCAACUUGAGGUCUUAGAAUGCAAGGAGGUUCCCUGGCCUAGCACUCUCAUUGAAGAGAAGUAUUGUAUUGAGGACAGAGGGUGGCCCUUAAAAAAUUCUGCCUUCGAGUGUAAAAUCAACCUUUUGACCGGUCGUACUCAUCAGAUUCGAGCACAAUUGGCUGCCUGUGGUGCACCUAUAGUGGGCGACUCGAUGUACAUGCCAGCUGCAAUUGCAGAGAUCACAAGUCCUGGACUUAACCCAUUUGGAAAAUACAAGAAAAAAUAUACAACAGAGAAUGAUAGAGAAACAGCAGUUGCAGAGUGGAUUGCACAGCAUGGAAAGGAACCUGGAGUUGCUAUUGGUCUUCAGGCAUGCCAGAUUUCUUGGGAUGAUGGAGAGCACUUUUACAAGGCUGGAUCUCCAUGGUGGACGUGAGAAAUGGAAUAAUUUUGCUGAUAGGAGGCAGAAGAAUCAGGGUCAAGUACAAAUUUCAGUAUUUUCUUCACCAAAAUUGAGCUGUCGAUAGUGCAUCUAAGUAGGCAGCCAUGUACUCCACUCUUUUGACAUCAUAAAGAAAUUCUUCAAUGGUGGAAUUAGGAUCAUUCUCAUCAACGUACCCUACCAGAUCCAUUACAUACAUAUCAGAACAUGCAAGAAAGUUAUGCAUCAAAAGGACUUUCCAAAUCUGUACACACCAUUUUCUGUAAUGAACAUGGGUAUACCACUGUAUCUCUCUUUUACAUAGGUAACCAUUUUCUCCAUUCCUUGUGGGUAAACAUAUAGCCAGGCCAAUGCAGUCUGCACCAAUCAAGGAGGUUCAGCAAUUUGUUGAGAGUGCAAAGUUAACUUGAGAUGAUGUUGAUGAGCAUGGUUACUUACUGAUUCUCCAAUGGAGACACCAUCCUUUUGUGGAGUUUGUCGACAGAAUCCUUCUGUCCUGGAGGCUCCUUUUCCAGGUUCACACAAGGAGAAAAUGCAGUCCUGGGCGUACAAGCUAGUGUAGUGGUUGAUGCCAAUGAAAUCUAAUGCCUUAUUCAGUUUCUUCCUAUCGUUGCUUGAAAAUUCUGGUAAAAUGGAUCCAAGAAUUGUAUUCAUCUCUUCAGGAUAUCUUCCAAAUAUAAUUGGGUCCAAGAACCUGCAUAAUUUGGUUAGAACUUGUUAUAUCUCUUUUCUCAUGCAUAUUCAUUUAUC